This 440-nucleotide ribosomal RNA is filed under the name uncultured bacterium. Its description in RNAcentral is "partial 16S ribosomal RNA". It matches the Rfam family "Bacterial small subunit ribosomal RNA", at positions 338 to 795 of the family's 1533-position model. The record is from RNAcentral.
CCUACGGGAGGCUGCAGUGGGGAAUAUUGCACAAUGGGGGAAACCCUGCUGCAGCGACGCCGCGUGAGUGAAGAAGUAAUUCGUUAUGUAAAGCUCUAUCAGCAGGGAAGAAAAUGACGGUACCUGAGUAAGAAGCACCGGCUAACUACGUGCCAGCCGCCGCGGUAAGACGUAGGGGGCAAGCGUUAUCCGGAUUUACUGGGUGUAAAGGGAGCGUAGCCGGCAGUUAAAGUAUGGAGGGAACGGCGGGGGCUCAACCCCCGGACUGCUCUGGAAACUGUACGGCUGGAGUGCAGGAGAGGUAAGUGGAAUUCCUAGUGUAGCGGUGAAAUGCGUAGAUAUUAGGAGGAACACCAGUGGCGAAGGCGGCUUACUGGACUGUAACUGACGUUGAGGCUCGAAAGCGUGGGGAGCAAACAGGAUUAGAUACCCGAGUAGUC